UACGAAGGGGGCUAGCGUUGCUCGGAAUCACUGGGCGUAAAGCGCACGUAGGCGGCUUUCUAAGUCAGGGGUGGAAUCCUGGAGCUCAACUCCAGAACUGCCUUUGAUACUGGGGAGCUCGAGUCCGGAAGAGGUGAGUGGAACUCCGAGUGUAGAGGUGAAAUUCGUAGAUAUUCGGAAGAACACCAGUGGCGAAGGCGGCUCACUGGUCCGGUACUGACGCUGAGGUGCGAAAGCGUGGGGAGCAAACAGG
RNAcentral lists this ribosomal RNA (253 nucleotides) under uncultured bacterium. Its description in RNAcentral is "partial 16S ribosomal RNA". It matches the Rfam family "Bacterial small subunit ribosomal RNA", at positions 524 to 776 of the family's 1533-position model. The record is from RNAcentral.